This 428-nucleotide ribosomal RNA is filed under the name uncultured prokaryote. Its description in RNAcentral is "bacterial SSU rRNA". It matches the Rfam family "Bacterial small subunit ribosomal RNA", at positions 355 to 774 of the family's 1533-position model. The record is from RNAcentral.
UGAGGAAUAUUGCGCAAUGGGGGAAACCCUGACGCAGCGACGCCGCGUGAGUGAUGAAGGCCUUCGGGUUGUAAAGCUCUGUCAGAGGGAAAGAAAGGGUAGGCGGCUAAUACCCGUCUACAUUGACGGUACCCUCAGAGGAAGCACCGGCUAACUCCGUGCCAGCAGCCGCGGUAAUACGGAGGGUGCUAGUGUUAUUCGGAAUCACUGGGCGUAAAGAGCACGUAGGCGGAUAGGUAAGUCAGAUGUGAAAUCCCGUAGCUCAACUUCGAAACUGCAUUUGAUACUGCCUGUCUUGAGUGUGGUAGAGGGGGAUGGAAUUCCCGGUGUAGAGGUGAAAUUCGUAGAUAUCGGGAGGAACACCAGAGGCGAAGGCGAUCCCCUGGGCCACUACUGACGCUGAGGUGCGAAAGCGUGGGGAGCAAACA